AUGUACAAAGAUAGAGAAGCAUUGUUUCUAGAUCUGAGUAUAUCAAUAUUACCUUGUUCAGAACUUAAAGAGAAAUCUUGAGUUUAUGGACUUCAGGGGGAGUAUGGUCACAAGGCUGAAACUUAAAGGAAUUGACGGAAGGGCACACCAGGAGUGGAGCCUGCGGCUUAAUUUGACUCAACACGGGAAAACUUACCAAGACCGAACAGUAGAAGGAAUGACAGAUUAAGAGUUCUUUCAUGAUUUAUUGGGUAGUGGUGCAUGGCCGUUCUUAGUUGGUGGAGUGAUUUGUCAGGUUAAUUCCGGUAACGAACGAGACUGAAACCUAUUAAUUAGUUUUCUGCCUAUAAGACAGAAAUGUUCGCAAGAACAGGUGCGUAAGUACCACUUCUUAAAGGGACACAUUUCAAUUGUCCU
This 417-nucleotide ribosomal RNA is filed under the name Entamoeba histolytica. RNAcentral describes it as "SSU rRNA". It matches the Rfam family "Eukaryotic small subunit ribosomal RNA", at positions 1053 to 1431 of the family's 1831-position model. The record is from RNAcentral. Lineage: Eukaryota; Evosea; Mastigamoebida; Endamoebidae.